UACGGAGGAUGCGAACGUUGUCCGGAUUUACUGGGUUUAAAGGGUGCGUAGGCGGGUGGAUAAGCCAGAGUUGAAAGGAAGUCGCUCAACGAUUGUAAGGCUUUGAUACUGUUCAUCUUGAGUGUAGAGGAGCCAGAUGGAAUGGGUGGAGUAGGGGUGAAAUGCAUAGAUACCAUCCAGAACACCGAUUGCCGAGGCAUUCUGCUACACUACAACUGACGCUGAGGCACGAAAGCGUGGGGAUCACACAGG
RNAcentral lists this ribosomal RNA (252 nucleotides) under uncultured bacterium. Its description in RNAcentral is "partial 16S ribosomal RNA". It matches the Rfam family "Bacterial small subunit ribosomal RNA", at positions 524 to 776 of the family's 1533-position model. The record is from RNAcentral.